This 460-nucleotide ribosomal RNA is filed under the name uncultured bacterium. RNAcentral describes it as "partial 16S ribosomal RNA". It matches the Rfam family "Bacterial small subunit ribosomal RNA", at positions 338 to 795 of the family's 1533-position model. The record is from RNAcentral.
CCUACGGGCGGCAGCAGUGAGGAAUAUUGGUCAAUGGACGAGAGUCUGAACCAGCCAAGUAGCGUGAAGGAUGACUGCCCUAUGGGUUGUAAACUUCUUUUAUAUGGGAAUAAAAUGUUCCACGUGUGGGAUUUUGUAUGUACCAUAUGAAUAAGGAUCGGCUAACUCCGUGCCAGCAGCCGCGGUAAUACGGAGGGUCCGAGCGUUAUCCGGAUUUAUUGGGUUUAAAGGGAGCGUAGGUGGAUUGUUAAGUCAGUUGUGAAAGUUCGCGGCUCAACCGUAAAAUUGCAGUUGAAACUGGCAGUCUUGAGUACAGUAGAGGUGGGCGGAAUUCGUGGUGUAGCGGUGAAAUGCUUAGAUAUCACGAAGAACUCCGAUUGCGAAGGCAGUUCACUGGACUGCAACUGACACUGAGGCUCGAAAGUGUGGGUAUCAAACAGGAUUAGAUACCCGAGUAGUC